Molecule: ribosomal RNA, 403 nt
Filed under: Actinomycetes bacterium
Lineage: Bacteria; Bacillati; Actinomycetota; Actinomycetes
Description: Actinobacteria bacterium partial 16S ribosomal RNA
Rfam family: Bacterial small subunit ribosomal RNA
Source: RNAcentral
UGGGGAAUAUUGGACAAUGGGCGCAAGCCUGAUCCAGCCAUGCCGCGUGAGUGAUGAAGGCCCUAGGGUUGUAAAGCUCUUUCACCGGUGAAGAUAAUGACGGUAACCGGGAAGAAGCCCCGGCUAACUUCGUGCCAGCAGCCGCGGUAAUACGAAGGGGGCUAGCGUUGUUCGGAUUUACUGGGCGUAAAGCGCACGUAGGCGGACUUUUAAGUCAGGGGUGAAAUCCCGGGGCUCAACCCCGGAACUGCCUUUGAUACUGGAAGUCUUGAGUAUGGUAGAGGUGAGUGGAAUUCCGAGUGUAGAGGUGAAAUUCGUAGAUAUUCGGAGGAACACCAGUGGCGAAGGCGGCUCACUGGACCAUUACUGACGCUGAGGUGCGAAAGCGUGGGGAGCAAACAGG